ACAUUGGUGGUUCAGUGGUAGAAUUCUCGCUUUCCAUGUGGAGACCCAGGUUCAAUUCCCAGCCAUUGCA
RNAcentral lists this transfer RNA (70 nucleotides) under Loxodonta africana (African savanna elephant). It matches the Rfam family "tRNA". From Rfam's summary of the family: Transfer RNA (tRNA) molecules are approximately 80 nucleotides in length. Their secondary structure includes four short double-helical elements and three loops (D, anti-codon, and T loops). The record is from Rfam by way of RNAcentral. Lineage: Eukaryota; Metazoa; Chordata; Mammalia; Proboscidea; Elephantidae.